CCUACGGGGGGCAGCAGGCGCGAAACCUCCACAAUGCGGGAAACCGCGAUGGGGUUACCCCGAGUGUCGCCCGCUGAGGGCGACUUUUCUGGGGUCUAAAAAGCCCCAGGAAUAAGGGGAGGGCAAGUCUGGUGUCAGCCGCCGCGGUAAUACCAGCUCCCCGAGUGGUCGGGACGUUUAUUGGGCCUAAAGCGCCCGUAGCCGGCCCGGUGUGUCCUCCGUUAAAUCCGCCGGCUCAACCGGCGGACCGCGGGGGAUACUACCGGGCUAGGGGGCGGGAGAGGUCGGGGGUACUCCCGGGGUAGGGGUAAAAUCCUCUGAUCCCGGGAAGACCACCGGUGGCGAAGGCGUCCGGCCAGAACGCGCCCGACGGUGAGGGGCGAAAGCUGGGGGAGCGAACCGGAUUAGAUACCCGGGUAGUCCCAGCUGUAAACGAUGCGGGCUAGGUGCUGGAGGGGCUACGGGCCCCUCCAGUGCCGCAGGGAAGCCGUUAAGCCCGCCGCCUGGGGAGUACGGCCGCAAGGCUGAAACUUAAAGGAAUUGGCGGGGGGGCACACAAGGGGUGAAGCUGCGGCUCAAUUGGAGUCAACGCCCGGAACCUUACCAGGGGUCACAGCAGAAUGAAGGUCAGGUCAAAGACCUUACCUGACGCGCUGAGAGGAGGUGCAUGGCCCCCGCCGGCUCGUGCCGUGAGGUGUCCUGUUAAGUCAGGAAACGCGCGAGAUCCCCACCACCAGUUGCCAUUCCGUCCCCUCUAGGGAUGGGAGGCGAACUGGUGGCACUGCCGCCGACAAGGCCGCGGAAGGAGGGGGCCACGGCAGCUCAGUAUGCCCCGAAACCCCUGGGCUACACGCGGGCUGCAAUGGUGGGCACAAUGGGAGCCGAACCCGAAAGGGGAAGGUAAUCCUCAAACCCCACCCCAGUUAUGAUUGAGGGUCGCAACUCACCCUCAUGAAUCUGGAAUCCCUAGUAACCGCGCGUCACCAUCGCGCGGCGAAUACGUCCCUGCCUCUUGCACACACCGCCCGUCA
This 1031-nucleotide ribosomal RNA is filed under the name uncultured archaeon. RNAcentral's name for it is "bacterial SSU rRNA". It matches the Rfam family "Archaeal small subunit ribosomal RNA", at positions 322 to 1355 of the family's 1478-position model. The record is from RNAcentral.